This 244-nucleotide ribosomal RNA is filed under the name uncultured bacterium. Its description in RNAcentral is "partial 16S ribosomal RNA". It matches the Rfam family "Bacterial small subunit ribosomal RNA", at positions 1257 to 1500 of the family's 1533-position model. The record is from RNAcentral.
GCGAGGUAGAGCAAAUCUCAAAAAAACAAUCUCAGUUCAGACUGCAGGCUGCAACUCGCCUGCACGAAGUCGGAAUUGCUAGUAAUCGCAGAUCAGCAUGCUGUGGUGAAUACGUUCCCGGGCCUUGUACACACCGCCCGUCACACCAUGGGAGUCGGUAACACCCAAAGUUGGUAGUCUAACCGCAAGGAGGACGCCGCCUAAGGUGGGAUUGAUGACUGGGGUGAAGUCGUAACAAGGUAUC